GAUGAACGCUGGCGGCGUGCUUAACACAUGCAAGUCGAACGAUGAAGCCCAGCUUGCUGGGUGGAUUAGUGGCGAACGGGUGAGUAACACGUGAGUAACCUGCCCUUAACUCUGGGAUAAGCCUGGGAAACUGGGUCUAAUACCGGAUAGGAGCGUCCACCGCAUGGUGGGUGUUGGAAAGAUUUAUCGGUUUUGGAUGGACUCGCGGCCUAUCAGCUUGUUGGUGAGGUAAUGGCUCACCAAGGCGACGACGGGUAGCCGGCCUGAGAGGGUGACCGGCCACACUGGGACUGAGACACGGCCCAGACUCCUACGGGAGGCAGCAGAGGGGAAUAUUGCACAAUGGGCGCAAGCCUGAUGCAGCGACGCCGCGUGAGGGAUGACGGCCUUCGGGUUGUAAACCUCUUUCAGUAGGGAAGAAGCGAAAGUGACGGUACCUGCAGAAGAAGCACCGGCUAACUACGUG
Molecule: ribosomal RNA, 466 nt
Filed under: uncultured bacterium
Lineage: Bacteria
Description: partial 16S ribosomal RNA
Rfam family: Bacterial small subunit ribosomal RNA
Source: RNAcentral